Molecule: unclassified non-coding RNA, 292 nt
Filed under: uncultured Ascomycota
Lineage: Eukaryota; Fungi; Ascomycota
Description: sequence contains ITS1
Rfam family: 5.8S ribosomal RNA (bases 1-105)
Source: RNAcentral
GAAAUGCGAUAAGUAAUGUGAAUUGCAGAACUCAGUGAACCAUCGAAUCUUUGAACGCACAUUGCGCCCCUCGGCACUCCGGGGGGCAUGCCUGUCCGAGCGUCAUUUCAACCCUCAAGCUCCGCUUGGCCUUGAGCCCGGGUCAGCGAUGGCCGGCUCCAAAAUCAGCGGCGGCGCCGUCGGGCCCUGAACGUAGUACCUUCUCUCGUUACAGGCCCUCGACGCGCUCCAGCCCCCACCCCAACUCUUCGUGGUUGACCUCGGAUCAGGUAGGGAUACCCGCUGAACUUAA